CGGACUUCGGUCUGGUGGCGAGUGGCGAACGGGUGAGUAAUGCAUCGGAACGUGCCCAGUAGCGGGGGAUAACUACGCGAAAGCGUAGCUAAUACCGCAUACGCCCUACGGGGGAAAGCAGGGGAUCGCAAGACCUUGCACUAUUGGAGCGGCCGAUAUCGGAUUAGCUAGUUGGUGGGGUAACGGCUCACCAAGGCGACGAUCCGUAGCUGGUUUGAGAGGACGACCAGCCACACUGGGACUGAGACACGGCCCAGACUCCUACGGGAGGCAGCAGUGGGGAAUUUUGGACAAUGGGGGAAACCCUGAUCCAGCCAUCCCGCGUGUGCGAUGAAGGCCUUCGGGUUGUAAAGCACUUUUGGCAGGAAAGAAACGUCAUGGGUUAAUACCCCGUGAAACUGACGGUACCUGCAGAAUAAGCACCGGCUAACUACGUGCCAGCAGCCGCGGUAAUACGUAGGGUGCAAGCGUUAAUCGGAAUUACUGGGCGUAAAGCGUGCGCAGGCGGUUCGGAAAGAAAGAUGUGAAAUCCCAGAGCUUAACUUUGGAACUGCAUUUUUAACUACCGGGCUAGAGUGUGUCAAAGGGAGGUGGAAUUCCGCGUGUAG
Molecule: ribosomal RNA, 608 nt
Filed under: uncultured bacterium
Lineage: Bacteria
Description: bacterial SSU rRNA
Rfam family: Bacterial small subunit ribosomal RNA
Source: RNAcentral